RNAcentral lists this ribosomal RNA (372 nucleotides) under uncultured bacterium. Its description in RNAcentral is "bacterial SSU rRNA". It matches the Rfam family "Bacterial small subunit ribosomal RNA", at positions 524 to 898 of the family's 1533-position model. The record is from RNAcentral.
UACGGAGGAUGCGAGCGUUAUCCGGAUUUAUUGGGUUUAAAGGGUGCGUAGGCGGAUUGAUAAGUCAGUGGUGAAACCCUGCAGCUUAACUGUAGGCUUGCCGUUGAUACUGUCAGUCUUGAGUGUGGCCAAGGUAGGCGGAAUGUGUAAUGUAGCGGUGAAAUGCUUAGAUAUUACACAGAACACCGAUUGCGAAGGCAGCUUGCUGGACCAUUACUGACGCUGAUGCACGAAAGCGUGGGGAUCGAACAGGAUUAGAUACCCUGGUAGUCCACGCCGUAAACGAUGAUCACUCGCUGUUAGCGAUACACAGUUAGCGGCUAAGCAAAAGCAUUAAGUGAUCCACCUGGGGAGUACGGCCGCAAGGCUGAA